Molecule: ribosomal RNA, 270 nt
Filed under: uncultured bacterium
Lineage: Bacteria
Description: partial 16S ribosomal RNA
Rfam family: Bacterial small subunit ribosomal RNA
Source: RNAcentral
UAGGGAAUCUUCCACAAUGGACGCAAGUCUGAUGGAGCAACGCCGCGUGAGUGAAGAAGGUCUUCGGAUCGUAAAGCUCUGUUGUUGGUGAAGAAGGAUAGAGGCAGUAACUGGUCUUUAUUUGACGGUAAUCAACCAGAAAGUCACGGCUAACUACGUGCCAGCAGCCGCGGUAAUAUGUAGGUGGCAAGCGUUGUCCGGAUUUAUUGGGCGUAAAGCGAGCGCAGGCGGAAUGAUAAGUCUGAUGUGAAAGCCCACGGCUCAACCGUG